UCAUCCCACAUGAGCGUGGGGACCACGCCUGCUGCCUCACCCCUCUCUCCGCAGGUGCCGGUGUUGGGGGGGUGCCAGGAGCCGUACCUGGUGUGGGCGGAGUGCCUGGAGUGACACCUGGUGUUGGUGGCGUGCCCGGCUUGGUGCCAGGGGUAGGAGUACCUGGAACUGGCAUCAUUCCUGGGGCAGGCAUCCCCCAAGUAGGGGUGCAACCUGGUGCUAAACCUCCCAAAUUUGGUGUUCCUGGGGUUGGAGUCCCAGGGGUUGGUGGCCUCCCAGGUGGCCUUGGAGUCGGUGGGCUCGGAGUUGGUGGCCUCGGAGCUGCUGGGAAACCUCCCAAGCCAGGCGUUGGAGUUCCAGGCUUCGGCGUAUCACCGGUAUUUCCAGGUGGGGUCGGCGGCCUGGGAUUCGGUGGUGAGUAUCCAUUCUCCCCGCGGGGUGUUUUGGGGUGGGGGGGAACCCCGCGGGGAUCUCGCUCACCCUGCUCUGCCUUCCCGCUGCAGGGAAGCCCCCCAAACCCUACGGAGGAGCUCUGGGUGCCCUGGGCUUUAGAGGUGAGUGCGGUCCCCGCUGCCAGGGGGCUGUGCUGCCCCCAGUCCCUCUCCCGUCCCUGCGGCGGCUCGCAGGGAGGGCUGACCCGCAUCCCCCGCGGCAGGCGGCGCGGGCUGCGCGGCAGGGAAGUACUGCGGGAGGAAGCGGAAGUAACGCUCCGUCACCGAUCACCUCAUGAACUUUGGUGCUACUGCAUGGUCCAGAAUGUAAAUCCGAGCGAAGCUGAGACACCCUCUCCUCAAGCCCCGGACCGCCCCCGUCCAUCCCGGGGCCGUGCCCGGCCCCGCGUUCCCCGGAGGGACCCCGCGUUCCCCGGCAGCGUCCGGCCCCCCCCGCCCCUCGGUCCCGGCAGGGAGCGCGGAAUAAACUGCGGGGAGCAGCCGUCCCCCUUGGUGCUAUCGCUCUCUGCGGGAUUUGGGGGGGUCUGGGCUGUCGCGCCCCUCCCCAGCCCCAGAGCUGACCCCGGGGGGGGGGGACACAGGAUGGGGGGCACCCCACAUUGGAGGAAGGGAGGGAGGGAGGGUGGGAAGGGGAUGCCGGCAGCGGGGGCUGUGCGGGGAGGGAUGGCCCCGUCAGCCUGGCCCCCACCCCAGUCCCCGCGCCCCCCCGGUUUGGGGGGGUCGCGGGCAGGAGGGGCUCAGUCCCUUCACGUUGCUCACUUUGCUAUAACUGGGUGGGACGCCCUAUACAGAGGGACUCGCUUCUGACAGACUAAUAAAGGACAAGUUUUUAAAGGAUUCUGUGUUCCA
RNAcentral lists this long non-coding RNA (1301 nucleotides) under Chloebia gouldiae (Gouldian finch). RNAcentral's name for it is "Erythrura gouldiae (Gouldian finch) lncRNA (ENSEGOG00005018067.1)". Lineage: Eukaryota; Metazoa; Chordata; Aves; Passeriformes; Passeridae. The record is from RNAcentral.